AGAUCGUGCCGCUGCACUCCAGCCUGGGUGACAGAGUGAGACUCUGUCUCAAUAAAACAAGAAGCAUGAAUCUUUAGGUUAAUUUACUUUGAGUGCCUUUAAGAAAAAUGUUGACAUGUCUUAGAAGAACAGCAUUACUGUGUCUUCAUUUGAUUUAUUAAUAAGUGUGACCUACUGGGAAUGAUAUAGUUGUAUAUAAAGUGUGUGUAAUAGAUGGCUAAGUGGAUAGCAUCCCAGGAGUCACACUCAUCCAGCAUCAUUCAGUUUAAAAAAUUCACCCACAUAGCUUAGAAUUUUAAAAGAUCUGGUUUAGAGUUGUCUUCAGAAAGUGGGAAUGUGGGAAGAUGUCCAGUGACCUUUGUUAGCCAGCUUUAUUCCCGGCCUCCCUUUAUCUCUCAGAGGUGGCAUCCACAGAUGUCGAAGGACUUGUCAAGUUUGAGGAACUAUCCCCUGGUGUGAUGGUUAGUUUUAUGUGUCAACUUGGCUGGAUCAUGGGGCCCGGACAUUUGAUCACACAUUAUUCUGGAUGUUUCUGCAAGGGUGUUUUUUGGAUAAGAUUAACAUUUAAAUAGUUGGAUUCUGAGGGAAGCACAAUGCCCUUCCUAUUGUGAGUGGGCCUCGUCCAAUAAGUUGAAGUCCUUGAUAGAACAAAGACUGACUUCCCCAAGAGGGAAUUCUGUCAGCAGAUGGCCUUCGGACUAGAAUUGCGACAUCAGCUCUUCCAUGGGUCUUUAGCCUGUCAGGCCACCAGGCCACACUACAGAUUUUGGACUUGCCAGCCUCCAGCCUGCAUGAUUCCGUGAGCCAAGCCAAUUCCUUAAAAAUAAAUUCUCUCUCUCUCUCUCUCUCUCUCUCUACCUCUCGCUCUUUCUCCAUAUACACAUCCAUGGGUCUGUUUCUUUGGAGAAGCCAAUAACAUAUUUAAGUUAGCAUGGUAGAUAUCUAUUUAUAGCAUACUACUUAUUUAUUCCUAAGACAGUUGCCUUAUGUGGGCCUCAUGGUUCAACAUUCCCUUCACAUAAACCUCCACUACACUUAGACAACUGCCCAACUUUCCUCUUCUUACGAGCUUUCAACACAGUAUGUGACGAAAUACUUCCUGAGCUUAGUUUCAUAGACAUGAUCCACAUUUUAUAAAUUCAGGAUCAGAGCUUCAGAUUCUGGAGACCUGGAAGAUAUUCAAAUUAUAAGUGAGAAGAACCAAAGAUUUGACUGACAUUAGAUUGAGAAGAAAUCUUAAAUGUUUACAGCAGCCCCACAAAGUAACUCGCUCAUCUUUGUUUGUAUACUGCCAGGGAUGCGGGAAUCACUACUUGCUAAACAUGCUGGUCCUAUCUUUGGAUAGCUUUGUUUUCCAAAAGCUUUUCCUAAUAAUAUGAAGUUGCAAUGUAAUUUCCAUCUAUUAGAUGUGAUACUUGAAGCCGUGCUGGCCAGCUUGUGACCCUGAGGUGAAAGCUGGGAGAACCAGGGACAAACAGACAGAGCCAGCAUAUUGUUUUGCUGCAAACCUAACCAACUCUGAAACUUCCUGCUUCCAGACUUUUUAUUAUGUGACUUAAUUAAAUAUGGCUGUGGUUUAAGA
Cercocebus atys (sooty mangabey) is the source of this 1582-nucleotide long non-coding RNA. RefSeq lists it as uncharacterized. The record is from RefSeq and is a predicted model, not a curated record. Lineage: Eukaryota; Metazoa; Chordata; Mammalia; Primates; Cercopithecidae. The transcript is spliced from 2 exons.